Long non-coding RNA from Solanum tuberosum (potato), 2420 nucleotides. RefSeq lists it as uncharacterized. Lineage: Eukaryota; Viridiplantae; Streptophyta; Magnoliopsida; Solanales; Solanaceae. The transcript has 4 exons. The record is from RefSeq and is a predicted model, not a curated record.
UGCACUUCUACAGAGCCACGUAGAGUGCAAAUGCCAAAUUAAGCAAACAGUACACGAGAAAAGCACAAACACCCUGAAAAAAGUUGUGAAUUUCAAACUCAAAAUUUGAGAAAAAAAUGCAAUUAACGUGAGUGGUUUAUGUAUGCCAAUUUUGUCCCUAAAUUUGCUCCCAAACACAAACCCCAUUUGUAUAUAAUCAGCAUUUGUUGUGUCUGAGGUUGCAUUUUCUUCCUAGGAUGUUAUUUAUUUUUGGGGUUCUUGAAAGGGCAAAUUUUUAUACAAGUUUCUUGAGGUUUUGAGACUGAGAGUGAAUGCUCCUUCCCAGAAAGAAAUUGAAGAUGGGCUAAAAGAUUGUGGGAAUAGCCUCAUCAACUUUCCUCAUUCUACUGAAGAGCUCAUCAGUCUUCUUGAUGUUCAUUUGUUGUUGGAAGAUGUCGUCGCUCUACAAGAAUGUGAUGGACCUUCAUCCGUAGAAGCAUUUCAUUUUUCAGAUAUAAAAGUAAUCAUUUGAAGGACUGUUUUAAAGUACAAAAUGUUUUUCUCUUAAUAAUACAAUGAGGUUGGUCCAAUUUUAAAACUGUAUUAAAAAGAACAUCAUUUCUUAGAUUCUUUUCUGCAAUAUUACUUUCCUAUUCUAAAUCUUAAACUCUAUCAUAAAGUUAAAAAUUUAGUCAAAUGCAUAAAAUAUCAAAUAUUCAAUAACUUAAACUGUCUCUCCCCACCUUUCCCUUUGUUUUUGUUUAACUGUUUUAGGCUGCUUGCAUGUGUUUGUCAACUAUACUUGUUGAGAGUUGAAAUAGCAAGGAUCUAGAAAGGUAUAAAAUAGAGAUACUUCAUAAGCUUCUUCGUUUGUCUCUCCUCCCUUCUUGCUACACGUCCAGGUUCAUCGUUGGUGCUGCUGGAAGAUGUUGUCGCUCUACAAGAAUGUGAUGGACCUUCAUCCGUACGCUCAACCUUCAGCCUCUUAGCAGCCUGAUCUGGGAAUGACUUAUGGGAGAUUUGGAUUUGUUAUUAUCAGGAGCUAGUUGAAUUUCUUUGGCUGCAGCAUCGUCACUCCUUUUAAAAUGAAACCUUGCCAAGCAAUGUUGAUGUAUAAAUUUCAUAGAAAUAACAUAAUUGGAUGUGUGCAAUGCAUGGUUCGUCAAGCAGGGUUGGGAGUUAAAACUUGUAUAGUACGGAUCCAAUUAUGUUAUCUUUGAAAUCUAUAUAUCGGCAUUCCUUGGCAGGGUUUUUUGUUAAAGAGAGUGAAGAUGCAGCCAAAGAAACUUAACCAUCUCCUGAUAAUAACAAAUUCAAAACUCCCAGUGAACCAUCCUCAGACCAGGCUGCUUAGAGGCGGAAGGUUGAGCAUACGGAUGAAGGUUCAUCAUUCUUGUAGAGCGACGACAUGUUCUAGCAGCAACGAUGAACCUAGACAUGUAGCAAGGUAGGAGGAGAAACGAACGAAGAAGCUAAUGAAGUGCCUUUGUUUUAUGCCUUUCUAAAUCUUUGUUAUUUCAACUCUCAACAAGUAUAGUUGACAAACACAUGCAAGCAAACCUUAGAACAGUUUAAUAGAAAUAAAGGAGAGGGUGGAGAGAGAUAAUUUAAGCUAUUGAAUACUUGAUAUUUUGUGCAUUAUACUAAAUUUUAAACUUUAUGAUGAGUUUAGAAUAGGAAAGUAAAUUCUGCAGAAAAAAAUCUAAGAAAUGAUGUUCUCUUAAAUAUAGUUGUAAAAUUGGAACAACCUUAUUGUAAUAUCUAGUACUUUCUAUAGUUCUGCAAAUGGUUACUUUUAUAUUUAAGAAUGAUGUUUCUCUUUGCUACACGUCUAUAUUUAUUGCUACUGCUGGAAGAUGUCAUUGCUCAGCCUCUUAGCAGCCUGAUUUGGGGAGAUUUGGAUUUGUUAUUAUCAGGAGCUAGUUGAGGAUCUUUGGUUGCAACAUCGUCACUCCCGUUAACAAGAAACCUUGCAAUGCCGAUAUACAGAUUUCAGAGAGUUAACAUAAUUGGAUGUGUGCAAUACAAGGCGCCUUGGUUGCAUUAUUGAUUCAUCUCGUCAUAUAAGGAAAAAGAAGAAGAUGCAGGUGUCAUAGACGAGCAGAUUACGAAAUAGGUUGCUUUAUUCUAGAAGUUUAUUUGGUGAGCUCUGUCAUUGACCGUGGAGCUUCUUCUCUUUCAGUUAGACAAUUUUAUUCAUUUAUCCGGUAUUUGUUUUGGAGAUUAGCCAGGAAAUCUCUGUCUUGUGCUUUCCUCUUAGCACUCCAGUAUAGACAUAUUUUUAGUUGGGUUAUGGUUGAUCACUUUACUUCGGAUUAUUUUAAGUACAUUUUAGUAUUUAUAGAUUUCAAUUUUUAUUUGAAUUAUUUUAAGAACUGUUGAAUUGAAGGUUCUAACAAAGAGAUUAGUUAUUUAUUUUUAUAUGCAUGUGGGGCAUGUGA